The submitters of this non-coding RNA (157 nucleotides) gave its source as unclassified sequences. The record is from Rfam.
AAUCGGCGUACGAUAAGGAGUACGAGUUACUCAUCAUUGAGCCGAGGGGGAUGAGCCUCAGUAACAGCAGUCGCAAGACUGGAAAACUGAAACAUACAUCGUUGGGUAGAGUUUGGUAGGUUUCCCUUUAUUGGGAUUCUCGAAGAAGUUGGGCCCA